Molecule: long non-coding RNA, 3676 nt
Organism: Pongo abelii (Sumatran orangutan)
Lineage: Eukaryota; Metazoa; Chordata; Mammalia; Primates; Hominidae
Gene: CDC42SE2
Product: CDC42 small effector 2
Source: Ensembl
GGGGAGUGGGAGCCAGGAAGCUGCGAGCGCGCUGGGGAGCGCAGCUGCAGGCGUUGGGGCGGCAGGAGCCGCGGAGCCGGCGCUGAGAGGGGCUGCGGCCGGAGCGGGCGGCCGAGACAAAGGCGACGAUAGGGCCAGAUUUGAGUGUGUGAAUUUUUGAGUGAAACCUGGAACCCAAAUGAGAAGAAAUCUGCAAGGAAUAACUGCUGACAGUGAAUCUGCAGAGUCAUCUGUAUGCAUAAUAUGGAAUGUUCUUAACCCAGAGGUAGCUGAAUGUGUUACUCCAUUGCUGAGGAGUGACUAUCUGUUAUAGUCCCUGGGUCAAGACAACAAUUUUUAUACCUUCGUCGUGGUUCAGAAAGGAGCCUCUGUAGAACCAGAAGCAAAGAAAGGAAACAAUCCAAAUUUUUCUUUAUUAAAUUGACUGUGUAAGAUACUUGACUUCCAGGAACAAAAACACGGUGAAAUAAUAAAAUUUCAUCUUGGCAUCACUGGACAUCAUCGUAUUGAGGAGCGUAUCUUUGGAACUUCCUGAGUUGAGAUUUGGAACCUUCAUUGGUGCUCAUUUAUACUGUGGACUGUAAGCAUGAGUGAAUUCUGGUUGUGUUUCAACUGCUGUAUUGCAGAACAGCCUCAGCCUAAAAGGCGACGGCGGAUUGACAGAAGUAUGAUUGGAGAGCCCACAAACUUUGUGCAUACGGCUCAUGUUGGAUCAGGAGACCUGUUCAGUGGAAUGAAUUCAGUUAGCUCCAUUCAGAACCAAAUGCAGUCCAAGGGAGGUUAUGGAGGUGGAAUGCCUGCCAAUGUGCAGAUGCAGCUCGUGGAUACGAAGGCAGGAUAGCCUUGGUCCUUUCUCCAGGUUAUUGUGAAUUUCUAUAUUUUCUCUGUCCACUAUUCUGUAAUUUUUUUUUGUCCUGUGAUUGCGUUUCUUUUAUUUUGAAUUACAAAAAAGAAGUGUGAUGGCACCUUGUCCACCCUGUUGUGAUUAUUCCGGUGAGAUGUUACUGUUCUGCUCUGAAGAAGAUACUGUCAGACGAAUCCUGCAUUUCCUCAGCUGGCAUGCAUGCCUUUGGACUCAUGGAGAGUUCUUUGGAUUGUCACUGAAUUUUCAAUGUUUAAUCAGUAUGGAUCUGAUCUUCGCAUGAUCUUUGUGAAUGCUAACACCAUUUUGCAGUUGUUUUUUUUUCUAUUUUAAACAUUUUUCUUUUCACUGCCGACCCCCUGCCUUACGAUUUUAUUGGAAAGCAAGGACCUGCUAUUAUUUGUUAAUUUGCCAUCAUUUAUGUAUAUUUUGGAAGGUAUGAGACCCACAAGCACAAUGAUCAUUUUUAUUUGUUUGAAACUUCAGCAGAAUAGAUAUCUGCAUGCUUUAUGAAGUUGCUUCAGUAAGAGCCCAUGGGAUGCCAGAAAUUAACAUUUCUUUGCUGCCAUGGGCUGAUGAUGCUGCUACUAGAUAAAGUUUAGCUGUGGCACUAAGUCACGUCAUUUUCAUAGAAAAAGAUUACUUGUAGCUUAUUUUAGAAGUAUGACCUUUUGGUCUGAUUAGAAUUGCAAUAAAAGAAAAGCUUGCAUUCAUAAGGCAUUCAUUCUGUUGUAAAUGUUCAAUAUAUUUAUUUUGAGAGCAAGGACCUGUGGUUGUAAACAGGUGUGGUUACAGGUGUGGUUAUGUAUCUUGAGUGUUGUGGUCAUACUCUCAUCCAGUCCGAUCCUGAGCAUCUUCAUCUUAUUAGCUGUUCGUUUCUUUGUGCACUCAUUCUUUUAUUUUUACUUCUUUUUAAUGUUAUGGUAUCCAGUUGUUUCCAGUAGCAGUUUCUUGAACUUCUGGCCUGUACUACUAACUGCAGACCUCCAGAGUCACUGGCCUUUCUGUGCUCUACAUAUUUUAGGGGCCACAUCAGUUGCCAAGAGCAACAUACAUACUGACCUGGCUGAAUUAUUGCCAGUGAAAACAACCUGUACGAAGCCUUUGCUCAGGUUCUAAAAUAUGUUUGUCCUUGCACGAAUUUUGUAUAUUUCAAAUACUUCUGUAAAGGUUUCUUAUUUUCUGUUAGAGUGUGGUGUUAAGCCAGAGUCAGUGGUUUGUGUUCUCAUUAAAACGUUUAAAUCCUAUGUCCAAUUCAAGCCUAUCUAUCUAACUACAUUUGGUAGGAUUAACAUUUCAUGUAACAAAUGGGGCUUAAUUAAAUAAAAACUUUAAAUAACUUUGAAUAAAGUAACAGGGAUCACUUUAUCUUCUGCCUUCAUUUACCUUAGUCCAAGAUUCUUGCAAAAUAGGCAACUGAACAAACAUUAGGUUUAUGUAGGUAAAAUGUGAAAGCAUUUCUCCUCCACUUUUUAAAAUUUAAUUUACCCAGUACAGCAGGGCACCAGAUUACUUGAUUUUUGUAUUUUGCAGUUUUGAGCCUUUGUGUCAAUCCCAAGCACAGAGAGGAUCUCUGCCAAGGAAAAACAUUUGCAUCUUCAGAGUAGACAUUUUGCAGUUUGUUUAAUAACUUCUAAAGUUGAAUUCAUCCAUUGUCACUGAUUGAUUCACCAAGUGGAUGUUGCAUUGUGGAAUUUGCCUGAGUACUGUUGUCAUUCUGCUCAGCCAGGCAUGGUCAGUUUCUUGGCCAGGGACAUUGCUGUGUGCAAGCUCUUUAGAAGAGAGAUUGGAUUUUCUUGGCAUUAUCAGCACUCAUGCUAUUUAGUCUACUUCUAUUUUGACUGACUUUAAAUUAGUACAGUUUUUCUACUUGUCAUAUAACUCCUGGAACAACAAUACGGGAAGCCAUGAUCCUUUUCCCUGACUCAUGAUUUUAUUCUUUUUCCAAAUCGCUGUUUUUUUGUUUUGUUUUGGUUUGGUUUUUUUGCUGCUCCAACGACCAGCAUGUGUUAGAGCAGAUCUCCAUGGUAAGCCAAAAGUGGACUUGUCAGCCUAUAACUACUCUGCAGCUGCCACUAACUCUACAGGCACAGUAAUACACUUUAUACAGGAGCACAAGCCAAAGUGCCUGGGAGGUGCCAAUAAAAUCAAUCAAGAAAUAAGAAAACUACAAAAAAAGAUACGGUUUAACCCUGGACAUAAUUUUUUUUUUUUAGGGAGGCAGCUUUCCCACAUUUAUAAAUGGGGUUGUAAAUCUCAAGAGGUCAUUUGUUCCCAUAGCAGCAUAUCUCAUUUUUAAAUUGAAGCUCAUUAAAUAGGAUUUUACUACUCAACAUUCAUUAUACUGUUAAUCUUUGCUGAAAUAUAUGCUAACAACAAAUGUUAAGCAAGGGAAACUGAAGACUGAGUCACAUGGAUUGUUAGCGGUGAUCUGCAUUCUGUGAAAGAGGUACUUUCCCGUGAUGUAGGCAUGAAGUGGUGCCAAUAAGCAUAGAGCGGAAAUGUUGACUUUAGUUACCAUUGGGUUUAGCAUUUCCAGUGCAGCAUUAUCAGUGGGCCUUUAAAAAUACUUCGUGAGUACAUUAGCUUUCACUUUGUUGUUAAAUUAUAGCAGACUCAUUAUAGAGAACAAGUUUGCCUUGAUUUUGUUUAAAAUGACUUCUGCUAAGCACCCAGAAGAUAAAAUUGACAUAUUUUUAUAAUAUAAGCAUACUUUUUUUGUACAUUGUGUUCAUUCUUGAAUAAAAUGAGUUCUGUGUUGGCUUGUAGAUAUUAAAAAGAAAGUAUUGAUUUUGAUUCAAUAAAUGUUUUCUU